This 68-nucleotide transfer RNA is filed under the name Periplaneta constricta. Its description in RNAcentral is "tRNA-Glu". It matches the Rfam family "tRNA". Rfam says of the family: Transfer RNA (tRNA) molecules are approximately 80 nucleotides in length. Lineage: Eukaryota; Metazoa; Arthropoda; Insecta; Blattodea; Blattidae. The record is from RNAcentral.
AUUUAUAUAGUUUAAUUAAUUAAAACACUACAUUUUCACUGUAGAAAUAAAGAAAUCUUUUAUAAAUA